AUGUUAUUUUUCAAUCUUGGCUUGCACUUCAUAAAUCCCUGUCUGCAGCUUCUGCUUUGUCUCCAUAUUCAUAUCCGAGUGCUGUCAUAUUUGCUGGUUUUCUUAAGAAUUGUGCUGCUGGUGUUCAGACAAUUCACUGCUGCCAUGAUGGUGGCAUCGCUGCAGGGCGGUUGUGCUGUGUUUGCAGUGACAGAGCCUGAUGUUCAAAGCUUGGCUUCAUCCAGUUGCUUUAAUGGGAUAGCAAGUGAAUGCCUGCCUGCAAGCUACAGCAGCCGCGAUGCCAAGUCUGCUAAGGAAGCCUGCAUUUCAGAGGUUGGGAACCCUGAGGACAUAACUUUCAAUGGACUGACCUGAUGGAAAAAUUAACAUGAAAUGUAUGUAGCAAGAUAUAUGUAUAUGCAUUUUUGUUUGGCAUGCCCUAGGAAAGGUUCAAAAGUAAUGGUAGUUUGGAACACACUGGUAUUCAGAAUUAUGCAGGUGCUUUGGAAGGAGGGACAGUGCAAAACUCAUUUUCUGAUGCACACUACAAGGUACAAUAGUGGGUGGGUGGGUGGUUGUGCAUGCUUGAGAGAGAGCAAAUUAUCCAGAAUUAAUAUUUUUUGAGUUGAGUGCUGAGUAAAAGGACCAGAGGUCUACUGCUGCAAUCCUCCACAGGGUUCAAUUGCACCACCAACUAUAAUGUACCUGGUCCUCUGAGGCAGUAAUUAUUAAUGAUAUUACUCCCUAUCUGCAUCAGGGUAACUCAGAGACCUGUGUAUUUAAUAAAUCACAUUUGGAAAUGAACUUGCA
RNAcentral lists this long non-coding RNA (789 nucleotides) under Chrysemys picta bellii (western painted turtle). Its description in RNAcentral is "lncRNA (ENSCPBG00000019840.1)". Lineage: Eukaryota; Metazoa; Chordata; Testudines; Emydidae. The record is from RNAcentral.